This 454-nucleotide ribosomal RNA is filed under the name uncultured bacterium. Its description in RNAcentral is "bacterial SSU rRNA". It matches the Rfam family "Bacterial small subunit ribosomal RNA", at positions 340 to 786 of the family's 1533-position model. The record is from RNAcentral.
UACGGAAGGCAGCAGUGGGGAAUAUUGCACAAUGGGCGCAAGCCUGAUGCAGCCAUGCCGCGUGUAUGAAAAAGGCCUUCGGGUUGUAAAGUACUUUCAGUCGUGAGGAAGGUGUUAAGGUUAAUAACCUUAGCAAUUGACGUUAGCGACAGAAGAAGCACCGGCUAACUCCGUGCCAGCAGCCGCGGUAAUACGGAGGGUGCGAGCGUUAAUCGGAAUUACUGGGCGUAAAGGGCACGCAGGCGGUUAAUUAAGUUGGAUGUGAAAUCCCCGGGCUUAACCUGGGAAUGGCAUUCAAGACUGGUUAGCUAGAGUCUUGUAGAGGGGGGUAGAAUUCCAUGUGUAGCGGUGAAAUGCGUAGAGAUGUGGAGGAAUACCGGUGGCGAAGGCGGCCCCUGGACAAAGACUGACGCUCAUGUGCGAAAGCGUGGGGAGCAAACAGGGAUUAGAUACC